RNAcentral lists this ribosomal RNA (468 nucleotides) under uncultured bacterium. RNAcentral describes it as "partial 16S ribosomal RNA". It matches the Rfam family "Bacterial small subunit ribosomal RNA", at positions 28 to 507 of the family's 1533-position model. The record is from RNAcentral.
GACGAACGCUGGCGGCGUGCUUAACACAUGCAAGUCGAACGGAAAGGCCCUGCUUUUGUGGGGUGCUCGAGUGGCGAACGGGUGAGUAACACGUGAGUAACCUGCCCUUGACUUUGGGAUAACUUCAGGAAACUGGGGCUAAUACCGGAUAGGAGCUCCUGCUGCAUGGUGGGGGUCGGAAAGUUUCGGCGGUUGGGGAUGGACUCGCGGCUUAUCAGCUUGUUGGGGGGGUAGUGGCUUACCAAGGCUUUGACGGGUAGCCGGCCUGAGAGGGUGAACGGCCACAUUGGGACUGAGAGACGGCGCAGACUCCUACGGGAGGCAGCAGUGGGGAGUAUUGCACAAUGGGCGGAAGCCUGAUGCAGCAACGCCGCAUGCGGGAAGACGGCCUUCGGGUUGUAAACCGCUUUCGCCUGUGACGAAGCGUGAGUGACGGUAAUGGGUGAAGAAGCACCGGCUAACUACGUG